Molecule: ribosomal RNA, 377 nt
Filed under: uncultured bacterium
Lineage: Bacteria
Description: bacterial SSU rRNA
Rfam family: Bacterial small subunit ribosomal RNA
Source: RNAcentral
GUAGUCCGCACUGUAAACGAUGGAUACUUGCCGUUGGAGGUAUUGACCCCUUCAGUGGCGAAGCUAACGCGUUAAGUAUCCCGCCUGGGGAGUACGGUCGCAAGAUUAAAACUCAAAGAAAUUGACGGGGGCCCGCACAAGCGGUGGAGCAUGUGGUUUAAUUCGAUGCAACGCGAAGAACCUUACCCGGGUUUGACAUGUACUGGAAGGUUGGCAGAGAUGCCGCCGCCCGCAAGGGCCGGUACACAGGUGCUGCAUGGCUGUCGUCAGCUCGUGUCGUGAGAUGUUGGGUUAAGUCCCGCAACGAGCGCAACCCUUGCCUUUAGUUGCCAGCAUUCAGUUGGGCACUCUAAAGGGACUGCCGACGUUAAGUCGGA